Molecule: small nucleolar RNA, 137 nt
Filed under: Drosophila erecta
Lineage: Eukaryota; Metazoa; Arthropoda; Insecta; Diptera; Drosophilidae
Description: snoRNA:GG25894
Source: RNAcentral
UGGGUGGAGUUAAAGUGGCAUAUUUUAAAACACACCAUUGAUCUGUGUCUCUAUCGCUCCUAUAUCAACUUAAAAUCCGAACGGCAUCCUGUUUAAUUACUUAUAUUAAGACAGAUGACUUUUGUUCGUGUACAACU